UCCUACGGGGCGCAGCAGUGAGGAAUAUUGGUCAAUGGCCGAGAGGCUGAACCAGCCAAGUCGCGUGAGGGAAGACGGCCCUACGGGUUGUAAACCUCUUUUGUCGGGGAGCAAAGCGAACCACGUGUGGUUCAUUGAGAGUACCCGAAGAAAAAGCAUCGGCUAACUCCGUGCCAGCAGCCGCGGUAAUACGUAGGGGGCAAGCGUUAUCCGGAUUUACUGGGUGUAAAGGGAGCGCAGGCGGCGUGGCAAGUCAGAUGUGAAAACCCGGGGCCCAACCCCGGGAGUGCAUUUGAAACUGCCAU
RNAcentral lists this ribosomal RNA (305 nucleotides) under uncultured bacterium. RNAcentral describes it as "bacterial SSU rRNA". It matches the Rfam family "Bacterial small subunit ribosomal RNA", at positions 337 to 639 of the family's 1533-position model. The record is from RNAcentral.